Long non-coding RNA from Lathyrus oleraceus (garden pea), 735 nucleotides. RefSeq lists it as uncharacterized. The record is from RefSeq and is a predicted model, not a curated record. The transcript has 2 exons. Lineage: Eukaryota; Viridiplantae; Streptophyta; Magnoliopsida; Fabales; Fabaceae.
CUCUAGCAGUGCAGAAUUUUGGGUCUGAGCCCAACGUGACAAGCCAAAACUCACGCUUCCGAUUCCUCUUCCCAACUGUGAACCUUCACUUGAGUAUUUCGACGGAGUGAAGCGUGUUCCAUCGUCAUGGCUUCAAACUGGAUGCAUCACUGCCAUCGGAAUCCUCUACACCGAUUUCAACAUCGAAUCGCAACUGGAUCGGAAUCAUGGCGCAACGAUCUUCAAGAAUAACACUUCGUUCCAACAAUUGAACAAAGACGCGAUCGAGAUGCGAUCCGAAAAGCGAAUCUGAACCAAUGUCGUCGAAACCUCCCUCAACUCGAUUUCAAUCAUCAUCUUCAGCAAAUCGGUAUUGCGAUAACAAAUCAUAUCUCCCAGCGUAUGUGCACUCAAGAAAAUGUGCGACAGAUUGCAGAAAGAUGACAAAAAAGUAACUUACCGAUACAGUGGCUUUCUGGUGAUAACAGGAUAAUGUUGUGAAGGCUUUUUGGAAGCUUCGGUUUCUACUGCGUUUUGAAUUGUUACUGCAGUUUGUUUAUUUUUGCUUUGUGUCGUUUCCUUCAUUUUGGCGUUGUUGUUGUUCGUACUUUUGCGUACUGAUGCUGCGCCCGUGUCGUUUCUGCAUUUCGUUUUCUGCAUUCGUUUGGCACCUUCUGCUAUUUGCACAUUGCACUUUUUAUUUCAAUUGUUUAUGUUUUUGUUAUGAAUAUAGUUGGACAUGGACUCAAGCUCUAA